GAGUUUGAUCCUGGCUCAGGAUGAACGCUGGCGGCGUGCUUAACACAUGCAAGUCGAGCGAAGCAUAAAAACAGAUUUCUUCGGAAUGAAAUUUUUAUGACUGAGCGGCGGACGGGUGAGUAACGCGUGGGUGACCUGCCUCAUACAGGGGGAUAACAGACAGAAAUGUCUGCUAAUACCGCAUAAGCGCACAGUGCUGCAUGGCACAGUGUGAAAAACUCCGGUGGUAUGAGAUGGACCCGCGUCUGAUUAGCUAGUUGGUAAGGUAACGGCUUACCAAGGCGACGAUCAGUAGCCGGCCUGAGAGGGUGAACGGCCACAUUGGGACUGAGACACGGCCCAAACUCCUACGGGAGGCAGCAGUGGGGAAUAUUGCACAAUGGGGGAAACCCUGAUGCAGCGACGCCGCGUGAAGGAAGAAGUAUUUCGGUAUGUAAACUUCUAUCAGCAGGGAAGAAAAUGACGGUACCUGACUAAGAAGCCCCG
This 486-nucleotide ribosomal RNA is filed under the name uncultured bacterium. RNAcentral's name for it is "bacterial SSU rRNA". It matches the Rfam family "Bacterial small subunit ribosomal RNA", at positions 9 to 495 of the family's 1533-position model. The record is from RNAcentral.